CCGCCGGACGCUGCAGUGGCUGGGGCAGGUCCGCGGCUGAGACCCGCGGGGGCCGGGACCGAACCCGAACCCGAUCCGGGUCCCGUACCCGGCCGGGGGU
RNAcentral lists this transfer RNA (100 nucleotides) under Streptomyces griseoaurantiacus. Its description in RNAcentral is "tRNA-Leu". The record is from RNAcentral. Lineage: Bacteria; Bacillati; Actinomycetota; Actinomycetes; Kitasatosporales; Streptomycetaceae.